Molecule: ribosomal RNA, 447 nt
Filed under: uncultured bacterium
Lineage: Bacteria
Description: bacterial SSU rRNA
Rfam family: Bacterial small subunit ribosomal RNA
Source: RNAcentral
UGGGGAAUCUUGGACAAUGGGCGCAAGCCUGAUCCAGCCAUGCCGCGUGGAUGAUGAAGGCCUUAGGGUUGUAAAAUCCUUUCGUUGGGGACGAUAAUGACGGUACCCAAAGAAGAAGCUCCGGCUAACUUCGUGCCAGCAGCCGCGGUAAUACGAAGGGGGCUAGCGUUGUUCGGAUUUACUGGGCGUAAAGCGCGUGUAGGCGGACUUGUAAGUUGGGGGUGAAAUCCCGAGGCUCAACCUCGGAACUGCCCUCAAAACUGGCGACUUGGACCCAAGUAGAGGCAAGUGGAAUUGCGAGUGUAGAGGUGAAAUUCGUAGAUAUUCGCAGGAACACCAGUGGCGAAGGCGACUUGCUGGACUUGUGGUGACGCUGAGACGCGAAAGCGUGGGAAGCAAACAGGAUUAGAUACCCGUGUAGUCCCUGAGCGGGCUGGCAAGGCGCAU